UCCAAACCAUAAAUCAGCCCGCAGCCCUGUAUAACCGUCUGCUGAUGAUGCAGCUGGCGGAAUGGUGUCUUCAUGGGACCCGCUGGUGGUCUCAGAACCCAUCUUUGCUGGAAACCCAUUUCAUGGAGUUUGGUCAAGACUGACGAUCUUCUGUCCCCCACACCACGUCAUGGGCACUUAACUGAGACUGAAGUAAUCAAACUCUUCCUGGCCUUUUCUCCAAGAAAGAGGGUGGCUCUCAGCUGGAGAAGGUGAACCGAGGGCCCCCUCUGGCCAUCACAUGGGCCAUGUGGAGGGAGUCUGUCUCAGGGUCAGAGAGAAAGACAGCCUGCUGAAUCCAGGAGUCCUAGGUCAAGUGGUACUUUGGGAAGCUCCAGUUCUGUGAACCAAUAAAUCCACCCCUGCUGUUU
Long non-coding RNA from Suricata suricatta (meerkat), 410 nucleotides. RefSeq lists it as uncharacterized. The transcript has 2 exons. NCBI's taxonomy places the organism in Eukaryota, Metazoa, Chordata, Mammalia, Carnivora, Herpestidae. The record is from RefSeq and is a predicted model, not a curated record.